RNAcentral lists this ribosomal RNA (397 nucleotides) under uncultured bacterium. RNAcentral's name for it is "partial 16S ribosomal RNA". It matches the Rfam family "Bacterial small subunit ribosomal RNA", at positions 523 to 918 of the family's 1533-position model. The record is from RNAcentral.
AUACGUAGGGGGCGAGCGUUGUCCGGAAUGACUGGGCGUAAAGGGCGUGUAGGCGGCGGUGUAAGUCUGGAGUGAAAGUCCCGCAUUCAGUGUGGGACUUGCUUUGGAUACUGCAGUGCUAGAGUGCGGAAGAGGUAAUUGGAAUUCCCAGUGUAGCGGUGAAAUGCGUAGACAUUGGGAGGAACACCAGGAUUGAAGGCGACUUACGGGGCCGUACCUGAAGCUGAGGCGUGAAAGCGUGGGGAGCGAACAGGAGUAUAUUCCCUGGUAGUCCACGCGGUACACGAUGAUUGCUAAGUGAUGUGGGGAUCGAGCCUAGCAGUCCUGGAGGAAACACAAUACGGAAUACGGCUUGGGAGUCCGGGCGCAAGGAGGAUGCUCAAAUGAGUUGAAGGGU